GAGUUUGAUCAUGGCUCAGAUUGAACGCUGGCGGCAUGCCUUACACAUGCAAGUCGAACGGCAGCACGGGAGCUUGCUCCUGGUGGCGAGUGGCGAACGGGUGAGUAAUGCAUCGGAACGUAUCCUGGAGUGGGGGAUAACGUAGCGAAAGUUACGCUAAUACCGCAUAUUCUGUGAGCAGGAAAGCGGGGGACCUUCGGGCCUCGCGCUCUUGGAGCGGCCGAUGUCGGAUUAGCUAGUUGGUGAGGUAAAGGCUCAUCAAGGCGACGAUCCGUAGCAGGUCUGAGAGGAUGAUCUGCCACACUGGAACUGAGACACGGUCCAGACUCCUACGGGAGGCAGCAGUGGGGAAUUUUGGACAAUGGGGGCAACCCUGAUCCAGCCAUGCCGCGUGAGUGAAGAAGGCCUCGGUUGUAAG
Molecule: ribosomal RNA, 418 nt
Filed under: bacterium enrichment culture clone ALO1_GLFRUDD03GQTTO
Lineage: Bacteria
Description: bacterial SSU rRNA
Rfam family: Bacterial small subunit ribosomal RNA
Source: RNAcentral